RNAcentral lists this ribosomal RNA (500 nucleotides) under uncultured bacterium. Its description in RNAcentral is "partial 16S ribosomal RNA". It matches the Rfam family "Bacterial small subunit ribosomal RNA", at positions 29 to 523 of the family's 1533-position model. The record is from RNAcentral.
AAUGAACGCUGGCGGCAGGCCUAACACAUGCAAGUCGAGCGGAUGAGAGGAGCUUGCUUCUCGAUUCAGCGGCGGACGGGUGAGUAAUGCCUAGGAAUCUGCCUGGUAGUGGGGGACAACGUUUCGAAAGGAACGCUAAUACCGCAUACGUCCUACGGGAGAAAGCAGGGGACCUUCGGGCCUUGCGCUAUCAGAUGAGCCUAGGUCGGAUUAGCUAGUUGGUGAGGUAAUGGCUCACCAAGGCGACGAUCCGUAACUGGUCUGAGAGGAUGAUCAGUCACACUGGAACUGAGACACGGUCCAGACUCCUACGGGAGGCAGCAGUGGGGAAUAUUGGACAAUGGGCGAAAGCCUGAUCCAGCCAUGCCGCGUGUGUGAAGAAGGUCUUCGGAUUGUAAAGCACUUUAAGUUGGGAGGAAGGGUUGUAGAUUAAUACUCUGCAAUUUUGACGUUACCGACAGAAUAAGCACCGGCUAACUCUGUGCCAGCCGCCGCCGUAA